AACUGAAGAGGGGAAUUGCAAAAGAACAAAAAGGCCUUGAAAUCAGAAAUUUGAAAUUGCAGAAGCACCAAACCCUUGAGGAAAUUGAAAUUGGGAAGCUUGGUAAUGGAAGGCAGCGAGAGCGAGAAGGUGUUCGAUUCAUUGAACCUAAAUCCCCAACUCUUCAUCAACGAGGCCCUCAACUGUGUAGACGAUUUAGUUGACGAUGCUUUCGAUUUCUUCCAUCAAGAGGCAGCAAAGCUUCUGAAGACCGAGGGCACAGAUCGAUCCGAAGAUCUGAGAAAGGGUGUGACUAACAUUAAGAACAUAAUCCAAUUGGCUCUGGA
This 326-nucleotide unclassified non-coding RNA is filed under the name Hevea brasiliensis (rubber tree). Lineage: Eukaryota; Viridiplantae; Streptophyta; Magnoliopsida; Malpighiales; Euphorbiaceae. The record is from RNAcentral.